RNAcentral lists this ribosomal RNA (253 nucleotides) under uncultured bacterium. Its description in RNAcentral is "partial 16S ribosomal RNA". It matches the Rfam family "Bacterial small subunit ribosomal RNA", at positions 524 to 776 of the family's 1533-position model. The record is from RNAcentral.
GACGAACCGUGCGAACGUUGUUCGGAUUCACUGGGCUUAAAGGGCGCGUAGGCGGGCGAUCAAGUCAGGGGUGAAAUCUUUCGGCUCAACCGGAAAAGGGCCUUUGAUACUGGUCGCCUCGAGGGAGGUAGGGGCAUGCGGAACUUCCGGUGGAGCGGUGAAAUGCGUAGAUAUCGGAAGGAACGCCGGUGGCGAAAGCGGCGUGCUGGACCUCUUCUGACGCUGAGGCGUGAAAGCCAGGGGAGCGAACGGG